Molecule: transfer RNA, 73 nt
Filed under: Ophiophagus hannah (king cobra)
Lineage: Eukaryota; Metazoa; Chordata; Lepidosauria; Squamata; Elapidae
Rfam family: tRNA
About the family: Transfer RNA (tRNA) molecules are approximately 80 nucleotides in length.
Source: Rfam by way of RNAcentral
ACCAGUUUGGCCUAUUGGUUAAGGCCCCAGGCUAGAAACCAGGAGACAGUGAGUUCUAAUCCCAUUUUAGGCA